Molecule: ribosomal RNA, 1328 nt
Filed under: Lactobacillus sp.
Lineage: Bacteria; Bacillati; Bacillota; Bacilli; Lactobacillales; Lactobacillaceae
Description: bacterial SSU rRNA
Rfam family: Bacterial small subunit ribosomal RNA
Source: RNAcentral
GUGAGUGGCGAACUGGUGAGUAACACGUGGGAAACCUGCCCAGAAGCGGGGGAUAACACCUGGAAACAGAUGCUAAUACCGCAUAACAACUUGGACCGCAUGGUCCGAGUUUGAAAGAUGGCUUCGGCUAUCACUUUUGGAUGGUCCCGCGGCGUAUUAGCUAGAUGGUGAGGUAACGGCUCACCAUGGCAAUGAUACGUAGCCGACCUGAGAGGGUAAUCGGCCACAUUGGGACUGAGACACGGCCCAAACUCCUACGGGAGGCAGCAGUAGGGAAUCUUCCACAAUGGACGAAAGUCUGAUGGAGCAACGCCGCGUGAGUGAAGAAGGGUUUCGGCUCGUAAAACUCUGUUGUUAAAGAAGAACAUAUCUGAGAGUAACUGUUCAGGUAUUGACGGUAUUUAACCAGAAAGCCACGGCUAACUACGUGCCAGCAGCCGCGGUAAUACGUAGGUGGCAAGCGUUGUCCGGAUUUAUUGGGCGUAAAGCGAGCGCAGGCGGUUUUUUAAGUCUGAUGUGAAAGCCUUCGGCUCAACCGAAGAAGUGCAUCGGAAACUGGGAAACUUGAGUGCAGAAGAGGACAGUGGAACUCCAUGUGUAGCGGUGAAAUGCGUAGAUAUAUGGAAGAACACCAGUGGCGAAGGCGGCUGUCUGGUCUGUAACUGACGCUGAGGCUCGAAAGUAUGGGUAGCAAACAGGAUUAGAUACCCUGGUAGUCCAUACCGUAAACGAUGAAUGCUAAGUGUUGGAGGGUUUCCGCCCUUCAGUGCUGCAGCUAACGCAUUAAGCAUUCCGCCUGGGGAGUACGGCCGCAAGGCUGAAACUCAAAGGAAUUGACGGGGGCCCGCACAAGCGGUGGAGCAUGUGGUUUAAUUCGAAGCUACGCGAAGAACCUUACCAGGUCUUGACAUACUAUGCAAAUCUAAGAGAUUAGACGUUCCCUUCGGGGACAUGGAUACAGGUGGUGCAUGGUUGUCGUCAGCUCGUGUCGUGAGAUGUUUGGGUUAAGUCCCGCAACGAGCGCAACCCUUAUUAUCAGUUGCCAGCAUUAAGUUGGGCACUCUGGUGAGACUGCCGGUGACAAACCGGAGGAAGGUGGGGAUGACGUCAAAUCAUCAUGCCCCUUAUGACCUGGGCUACACACGUGCUACAAUGGAUGGUACAACGAGUUGCGAACUCGCGAGAGUAAGCUAAUCUCUUAAAGCCAUUCUCAGUUCGGAUUGUAGGCUGCAACUCGCCUACAUGAAGUCGGAAUCGCUAGUAAUCGCGGAUCAGCAUGCCGCGGUGAAUACGUUCCCGGGCCUUGUACACACCGCCCGUCACACCAU